This is an RNA transcript of Rattus norvegicus (Norway rat), 3637 nucleotides long. RefSeq lists it as uncharacterized. Lineage: Eukaryota; Metazoa; Chordata; Mammalia; Rodentia; Muridae. The record is from RefSeq and is a predicted model, not a curated record.
AAGGUCAAGGCUUUAGCCAGGGUGGUUCCUUCCAUAGGCUCUGAGAGAGUGGCAAUCCACAGACUUCUAGUUUCCAUUGACUGCUGGGAAUUCGUGACAUUUGUAGAUGCAUCAUUCUAGCCUCUGGCAUUUUCCUAUGAACUUCAGCCUUGGUCUCCAUGUGUCACCUCUUAUUCUGACUCUUAAGGACAUCCAUUGGUGAGUUUUGGAGUUCAUCGAAACCCAGGGGAAUCUCAUCUUGAGAUACUCUUCUACUUACCAUCAUCAGGUCAUACACUGAGGUUUGUAAAGAAUGACAAUUCAUUAAGGAGCUACUAGUGAAUUAAUGACAACAUUGAUAUAAGGUUUAUUGUAUAGUGAAUUUAUUGUAAAUUAUUUGCAUCAACUGAUUUUACUUUGACAGUGGGAAAGUAAUUGCUUCAUUUUAUAAACGAGGAAGAUAGAAGCAUGAAUGGCCCAGCAGUUUUCCCAGGUAACAUUACUCAGAAACUUUUCCUCUUUUUACCACGAUCACCUAGGGGUUCAUCAGAAUCUCAGUGUCCUAUUUAAUAGCUGGGACCACUCCUACAAAGUCACAUUGUUAAUCUCAGGGCCCUAAAUCAAACUAUCUUUGGCAAAACAUAACAUAUAUGAGAUCACAGCUUCUAUCUGACCAUACCAAAUAUCACUUAUAGAUCCUAGAGUUUGCUUCCAUUUUCUUUUCUUGUGCCUGCAAUAAAAUACCCUAACAAAAGCAACCUGAAGGAGAAAGGGUUUGUCUACUUUGGUUCAUAGUUUGAGAGUACAGAGUAUCAUGAUUGAGAACUCAAAACAUGAGCUUGAGGCACAUCCAUAAUUCAGAACAAAGAGUAUGGAAUGCAUGCAUAUUUGCACUCAGAUCCCAAUUCAAGGAUUGGCGCCACUCACAGUGGGCAGGCAGGAUGCCAAUUAAGGUAAUCAAGGUAAUUUCCCACAGUGAUGCCAAGACCCUUCUUCCAGGAGAGUGUAGAUUCUGUCAAGUGUCAAUCACAGUGUUCUUCCCUAUGGAACUUUGUGUUCACCAACCACCGGCUCCAGGAAGUACUCAGAAUAAAGCCUCUUUCUCAUCUUAGUUCUAGAACUCCCUCCACGCCUCCUUCCUUUAGCAGGGUCUUUUAAAGAAGCAGAUACAAAGAGAGAGAAGGAUUGAGAACAGAGCAGAGGGGAGGAGUGAGGGAAGGUUAGGAGGAGGACUGAACCUCUUCGGUGUCUUUGGUGGCUAGCUGCCAUUGUUACAGCUUCUAGCCUGUCCUCCUCUAUGAUGUGUAUCUGCUGACAGACAUGAGCAAGACUGGGUCACAUCAACACAACGGUCAGCCAGACAGAAGCCCAGGCUCAGAAUCCAGACCCCACCAGACUUUGUUUGAAAUUCAGAGACAGUCUGGGCUUCAGGCACAUUCUUGGAAAAGCUCUGGUGUUAGGAAGAAGCCCGGCUUCAAUUCCUGAGGAAAAAAAAAAAACAACCAACCCAAAACCAGAUAAUGAAUUUAUUUGUAAGGCAGUGAUGGAGGCUGACAGUGAAUUGGAACAAGCAUGGCAAGAAGACAGCAGGUGCUGCUUCCUGGAGCUGAUUCGAUGUGGCAUUCCCAAGUCCAGAAUUAGUUCUUUCUUUAAAGACAGAUUUUUACACACAGUCCAUUCUCUCACAAGUGAGAUAAGCUCAACUUAGAAAGAUAACCUGAGCCACUGAACAUCUCCUGCCUAUUAGUAACAGACCAGAAGGGCCAAGAGCGUGUUUCCAAGCUCCAGAUCUGCCCAUUAAAACCUCUUCAGAGACAAAGGCAAUUGCAAUGAGAGGUAACACAGCUCUCACCGCUGAGACACUGGAGGCCCAGCCGUAUCUGCUCUUUUGACUCUUGCCGGUUCCUCAGCUGCAGUUGUUACCUGACUUCAGAAACUCCCCCUGCAUCUGCUCAGUUCUGUGUCUCCUACACUCACUUUGCUUCGCUCAGUAAUAACCCAAUGGUAACUCAGUCAUUGCUUCAAAACCACUCACUACAAAUGUGGUCUGGAAUUCCUUCCGGAGUCUGUGGCUGCAAACGACUGGCAUAUUCACUAGCCUUUGUGAAGAUUCCUCACCUCUGUAACACUUGAUGUUUGAGCCCUAUGAUCUUUGUUAGGUGGGAUUAUUCUAAGCAGUGUCCUUGAUCUCUACACCCCUGAUGCCAACAGUCCCCUCCCACGCCCGUCUACCCCCUCCCCCCAGUUAUACCAACCAAAAUAACAUCUCUAGUGGUCAAACGUUUCUUAGGGGACACAGUCACCCCAGGCUGAGAAUAAUUGAUAGAGCAGGAGACUAUUUAAAAAACGUAUUGACUUAUUACUGGGCUUCCACAUCUUAAAAAUUCUACCACGCAGAGAGAUACUCAACAUGCAGACUACGGUAACUUAAUGCUAUGGAACUGAACACUUUAUAAUGCUUGAAAUGCUGAAUUUCAUCUCCACUAUAUUCUACCCCAGUUUUAAAGCUGAUUCCAAGCCCUAAUGCCUCAAAGCACCCAGCUAUGCUGUGAAAUGCCUCUGCCCUUACACUUUAUUUCUUCCGUUAUUACUUUAUUUUAUAUUGUUUUAUGUUGUGAAACGUUCUUGCUCUUAGGUGUUAUUCUUCUGUCGAUGCUUUACUUUUUUGUUUGUUUGCCUGCUGCUUGCUUUUUCUGAAACUGAACCCCUGAGCUAAGGAAUCCAGUGACUACAAUCUUAUUUAACAUCAGGACUCUAUAGCUGUUAGAGAGCAUCGUACAGACAUACCAGACUUCUGGGGGCUCCUGAUUUAAGAGGCUUCUUGUGAAACGCAUCAAACCCAGAUCCCCAGAGGACCUGGCCUGUGGGCCACAGAAGCCCAGAGACCUUCCAAAUGCCGUGAUGCUCUUGACAAAAGAUGGUCUGGUGUGGAGCUGUGAGGCCAUUAUUUUCAUUUAAACCAUACAUGUCAUGUCCUGUUUGUGAGAAACACGUUAAACAACUCAGAAACACAUUCGCAGUGGGCUCUGAAGUGGGAUUCACAUUCCGAUGGGCUGGUGUACUGUAAACUGUGGAAGGCUGCUAGGGAGGGUGGGAUUGUUCAUCCUCAAAGCUCUACUGACAAUGGAGCCUUCCUGCUCUUGUCUGAUGUGUGCCUUACAAUUUUCUUCUGCUCCAAAGUAUGGUGAGCCCACAGAAUCUACAGGAGCUGGAGUUCCUUAGAGAUUCUGCCUCAGUACAUUUUAUCUUCGUUGCAAUGUGAAGACUUGGGCUAAGGAAAUAUCUAGAAGGAAGAAAACUGCUCCAUGUCCGCCUACACUGCAGGAGAUGGUCUGUCCACGGCUAAAGGCAACUUAAGGAGUGAGAACCAGCCAGCGAGUAAAAGCAGACUCUGGACGGUGAGCCAUCCCAUAACAAAAGCACCCCAGACAGCAGUGUGCCACCCAAGAGGGUGACGCUCCUCACCCUUUGAUGAGACAAAUGACUGGAACAUGGGGAGAAUCACUCGCGAAAGUGCUAUUUGAACUUUAUGUGCUACACUUACCAAAAAUACAGUAUUUAUAUGCAAACCUCUUAGAGUAGUAGAGUUGAACAUAUUAAAAUUAGAACCUAAAUCUAGGACUGUAGCCAAGUCAAAUAAUAAACAGUGUGAUAACUA